CAGCAGCAGCCGCGGUAAUACAGAGGGUGCGAGCGUUAAUCGGAUUUACUGGGCGUAAAGCGUGCGUAGGCGGCUUCUUAAGUCGGAUGUGAAAUCCCUGAGCUUAACUUAGGAAUUGCAUUCGAUACUGGGAAGCUAGAGUAUGGGAGAGGAUGGUAGAAUUCCAGGUGUAGCGGUGAAAUGCGUAGAGAUCUGGAGGAAUACCGAUGGCGAAGGCAGCCAUCUGGCCUAAUACUGACGCUGAGGUACGAAAGCAUGGGGAGCAAACAGGAUUAGAGACCCCUGUAGUCCCUGUCUCUUAUAC
This 304-nucleotide ribosomal RNA is filed under the name uncultured bacterium. RNAcentral describes it as "partial 16S ribosomal RNA". It matches the Rfam family "Bacterial small subunit ribosomal RNA", at positions 506 to 807 of the family's 1533-position model. The record is from RNAcentral.